GUGACUCUUCAAAGUCAUCCUGCCUUGCGGCAAGGAGGCCGGACUGGUGUACCCCUCUCGUCGACCCGCCCCUGGAAGGAGAACUUAGAAUCUUGCAGGCUUCAAGGUGUGAGGGCGUUGGAAGAAACACCAGAGAUGAUCCUGAUCUUUGUGGCAAAGGAAAGCACUCCCAGGCAGGCACUCCCGAUGGAUGGGAACUGGCACACGAGAUUAAACACAUUCCAUGGGGAAAGCUGAGUG
Molecule: long non-coding RNA, 240 nt
Organism: Neogale vison (American mink)
Lineage: Eukaryota; Metazoa; Chordata; Mammalia; Carnivora; Mustelidae
Exons: 3
Source: RefSeq, a predicted model, not a curated record